Molecule: long non-coding RNA, 768 nt
Filed under: Homo sapiens (human)
Lineage: Eukaryota; Metazoa; Chordata; Mammalia; Primates; Hominidae
Description: HSALNT0106861
Source: RNAcentral
AGUCCCCCAGACCUACCAAGGGCAUGGUGGUCCAGAAGGAAGCAUAGGCCCAGAUGGCUGCCAGGCAGAUGUAGGCGUGCUUUCUUUUCAGCCAAACCCCUGGAGGCGGAAGAAAAGCAUUACCCGGAUGUAAUCUGCCCUACACCCAGAUACCUCCCCUCGAUAUGUCAAAUUCCACCUCCAAAGAUUUAUUCCAUUGAUUUCUGGGAGACCUGGGCAGAUAACUGAAGCCUGAGGGAGAGUGGAGUAAACGGAAAAAAGUUCCAGAGCUUGGGCCUUUCUCCAGGAGAACACAAUUGGAAGGUUUUCUCUAGGCAUCUGGGAGCUUUGGGAGGGAGAAGUGACAACAGCUGGGAAAAGGGACAGGAAAGAGAUGAGAGGAUGCUGAAGACAAUGGAGGCCCUUGAGAAAACAUCUCGGAAAGGGUGUGUUAGUGGAUCAUCCAGGGAAAAUCCUUCUGGGAGGUGAGGAAGCACAAAACAUGGCUUGUGUCUUUAAAACGCCCUUCCUGCUAACAGCUUUUGUGUUGCUAGUCUUAUCUGGCUUCCUAAGAACUUGUGGAAGGGGCUUGGUGGCUCGUGAUCAUGACACUAUGGUUUGAGAUUAAAGUCCUUGACUGUGUUUAGUAAUUUGUGGAGCAGGUUUGGAAUCUUCAAACGUCAUUCACACAACAAUCGCGCUCACACAGCCACAGCGGGAGAGGCAGAGAAUCUAGGUAGGUUGCAUCAUGUUCUGCAAAGUAAUUCUGUGAAGAUAUUUUCAGGAAGA